CCUACGGGAGGCGGCAGUGGGGAAUUUUGGACAAUGGGCGCAAGCCUGAUCCAGCAAUGCCGCGUGAGUGAAGAAGGCCUUCGGGUUGUAAAGCUCUUUUGUCAGGGAAGAAACGGUGGUUCCUAAUACGGACUACUAAUGACGGUACCUGAAGAAUAGGCACCGGCUAACUACGUGCCAGCAGCCGCGGUAAUACGUAGGGUGCAAGCGUUAAUCGGAAUUACUGGGCGUAAAGCGUGCGCAGGCGGUUAUAUAAGUCAGAUGUGAAAUCCCCGGGCUCAACCUGGGAACUGCAUUUGAGACUGUAUGGCUAGAGUGUGUCAGAGGGGGGUAGAAUUCCACGUGUAGCAGUGAAAUGCGUAGAUAUGUGGAGGAAUACCGAUGGCGAAGGCAGCCCCCUGGGAUAACACUGACGCUCAUGCACGAAAGCGUGGGGAGCAAACAGGAUUAGAUACCCUGGUAGUCCACGCCCUAAACGAAGUCUACUAGUUGUCGGGACUUAAUUGUCUUGGUAACGCAGCUAACGCGUGAAGUAGACCGCCUGGGGGUACGUCGCAAGNUUAAAACUUAAUGAAUUGAGG
Molecule: ribosomal RNA, 581 nt
Filed under: uncultured bacterium
Lineage: Bacteria
Description: bacterial SSU rRNA
Rfam family: Bacterial small subunit ribosomal RNA
Source: RNAcentral